GACGAACGCUGGCGGCGUGCCUAAUACAUGCAAGUAGAACGCUGAAGGAGGAGCUUGCUUCUCUGGAUGAGUUGCGAACGGGUGAGUAACGCGUAGGUAACCUGCCUGGUAGCGGGGGAUAACUAUUGGAAACGAUAGCUAAUACCGCAUAAGAGUAGAUGUUGCAUGACAUUUGCUUAAAAGGUGCAAUUGCAUCACUACCAGAUGGCCCUGCGUUGUAUUAGCUAGUUGGUGGGGGAACGGCUCACCAAGGCGACGAUACAUAGCCGACCUGAGAGGGGGAUCCGCCACACUGGGACUGAGACAAGGCCCAGACUCCUACGGGGGGCAGCCGUAAGGGAACCUCGGGAAAUGGGGGAAGGCCGACCGGGGAACGCCGCGGGAGGUAAGGAGGGUUUCCGGUCGUAAAGCUCUGUUGUUAGAGGAAAACCAGUGUGGGAGUGAAAUGUUCACAUUGUGACGGUACCUUACCAGAAAGGCACGGCUAACUACGUG
Molecule: ribosomal RNA, 495 nt
Filed under: uncultured bacterium
Lineage: Bacteria
Description: partial 16S ribosomal RNA
Rfam family: Bacterial small subunit ribosomal RNA
Source: RNAcentral